UUGUGGCCCCUGCUGUGCCCAGAGCCCCGAGAGGCUUUGGCCACGCUGGCACACGGCAGCCGCAGCCCCAGGCUGCAGAGCCCUGGCUUUGCAGGCUGCGCUGCCCGGGGCACGAGCGAUCGGCCCCAGGGAGGUGCCAGGGCCUUGUGGGCAGCGGCUCCCCGUGCCGCGGGAGGCCGGGGAUCGGGGAAACUUGAAAACCAAAAGCUGCGGAGGGAGGAACAGGGAUUGCUUCAUCACAACACUGCAACUGCCAACAAAAGCUGAAGAGCUCGGAUUAGCAAGAUAACAGACAUAGCCCUGGCAGAGAUAGCCCUUUCAGAAACUGUCCAGGAAACACCCAGGCGAUGAACACCGGACAAACAUGGUUUUAUCCAGCCCAACGCAGAGAAAGAAAACUACAUGAAUAUGCAGAACAACGAAAAGAAAGAAAGACCUGUGCUCCAGGCUGGGAAAGACUGUAUAAAAACAGGACAGACCAAGAGGGCAUUUCUGAACAUUGGGGGAUCCGGUGCGCUAGAGAUCGGAUCAGGGCGUGUUCACCCGGCGCCGAUCCCGGGCUCGGUGCUGUCCUUUUUGAUUAUGG
Ficedula albicollis (Collared flycatcher) is the source of this 586-nucleotide long non-coding RNA. RefSeq lists it as uncharacterized. The transcript is spliced from 3 exons. The record is from RefSeq and is a predicted model, not a curated record. NCBI's taxonomy places the organism in Eukaryota, Metazoa, Chordata, Aves, Passeriformes, Muscicapidae.